UACGUAGGGGGCUAGCGUUGCUCGGGAUCACUGGGCGUAAAGGGUGCGUAGGCGGUUCUUUAAGUCAGGGGUGAAAUCCUGGAGCUCAACUCCAGAACUGCCUUUGAUACUGAGGAUCUUGAGUUCGGGAGAGGUGAGUGGAACUGCGAGUGUAGAGGUGAAAUUCGUAGAUAUUCGCAAGAACACCAGUGGCGAAGGCGGCUCACUGGCCCGAUACUGACGCUGAGGCACGAAAGCGUGGGGAGCAAACAGG
This 253-nucleotide ribosomal RNA is filed under the name uncultured bacterium. RNAcentral describes it as "partial 16S ribosomal RNA". It matches the Rfam family "Bacterial small subunit ribosomal RNA", at positions 524 to 776 of the family's 1533-position model. The record is from RNAcentral.